UACGGAGGGGGCUAGCGUUGUUCGGAAUUACUGGGCGUAAAGCGCGCGUAGGCGGGCUGUUAAGUCGAGGGUGAAAGCCCGGGGCUCAACCCCGGAACUGCCUUCGAUACUGGCAGCCUAGAGUGCGGGAGAGGUGAGUGGAAUGCCGAGUGUAGAGGUGAAAUUCGUAGAUAUUCGGCGGAACACCCGUGGCGAAGGCGGCUCACUGGCCCGAUACUGACGCUGAGGUGCGAAAGCGUGGGGAGCAAACAGG
RNAcentral lists this ribosomal RNA (253 nucleotides) under uncultured bacterium. RNAcentral describes it as "partial 16S ribosomal RNA". It matches the Rfam family "Bacterial small subunit ribosomal RNA", at positions 524 to 776 of the family's 1533-position model. The record is from RNAcentral.